Molecule: ribosomal RNA, 332 nt
Filed under: uncultured Desulfuromonas sp.
Lineage: Bacteria; Pseudomonadati; Thermodesulfobacteriota; Desulfuromonadia; Desulfuromonadales; Desulfuromonadaceae
Description: bacterial SSU rRNA
Rfam family: Bacterial small subunit ribosomal RNA
Source: RNAcentral
CGUGCAGGCGGUUGCUUAAGUCUGAUGUGAAAGCCCUGGGCUCAACCCGGGAAGUGCAUUGGAAACUGGGCAACUUGAGUACGGGAGAGGAUAGUGGAAUUCCGAGUGUAGGGGUGAAAUCCGUAGAUAUUCGGAGGAACACCGGUGGCGAAGGCGGCUAUCUGGACCGAUACUGACGCUGAGACGCGAAAGCGUGGGGAGCAAACAGGAUUAGAUACCCUGGUAGUCCACGCCGUAAACGAUGGGUACUAGGUGUUGCGGGUAUUGACCCCUGCAGUGCCGAAGCUAACGCAUUAAGUACCCCGCCUGGGGAGUACGGUCGCAAGACUAAA